RNAcentral lists this ribosomal RNA (494 nucleotides) under uncultured bacterium. RNAcentral's name for it is "partial 16S ribosomal RNA". It matches the Rfam family "Bacterial small subunit ribosomal RNA", at positions 28 to 507 of the family's 1533-position model. The record is from RNAcentral.
GACGAACGCUGGCGGCGUGCUUAACACAUGCAAGUCGAACGGUGAAGCGCCUUCCUUUUUGGUGGGUGUGGAUGAGUGGCGAACGGGUGAGUAACACGUGAGUAACCUGCCCCCUUCUUCUGGAUAACCGCAUGAAAGUGUGGCUAAUACGGGAUGUUCUGGGUCUGUCGCAUGAUGGGUCUGGGAAAGAUAUUGUUUCGGUGGGGGAUGGGCUCGCGGCCUAUCAGCUUGUUGGUGGGGUGAUGGCCUACCAAGGCGGUGACGGGUAGCCGGCCUGAGAGGGUGAACCGUCACACUGGGACUGGGACACGGCCCAGACUCCUACGGGAGGCAGCAGUGGGGAAUAUUGCACAAUGGGGGCAAGCCUGAUGCAGCGACGCCGCGUGAGGGAUGGAGGCCUUCGGGUUGUGAACCUCUUUCGCCAGUGAAGCAGGACUGCCUCGUGUGUGGGUGGGUUGACGGUAGCUGGAUAAGAAGCGCCGGCUAACUACGUG